UUUUUUUUUUGGGGUGGGAAUGUAAAUGGUAUAACUGCUAUGGAAAUAAGGAUGGAGGUUCACCAGAAAAUUAAAUUAUGACCUAAUAGUCUCACUGCUGCUACAUAUGCAAACAAUGUAAAGUCGGGGAGUAGAGGAAUUCUCGCUCAUGUAUGUUGUAGCAUCAUUUACAAUUGCAAGAUAAGGAAACAACAUAAAUGUCCAGAUGGAUGAAUGAGUUUUAAAAACAUGGCAUAUACAUAACAUUGGAAUCUUAUUCAACUUCAGAUAGAAGGAAGUUCUGCCAUAUACAACAUCAUAAAUGGACAUUAUGCUAAGUGGAAUCAGUCUCUCAGAGAAGAUUAAAGACUUCAGUAUAUUUCAUAUAUUGAGGAUAUGAAACAGUCAAUUCAUAGAAACAAAAUAAGAGUAUUUCCUAGAGAUUGGAAAAAGGCAGAAAUGAAAGUUCCUGUUCAAUGGGUAUAAUGGUUCAAUUAUACUAGAUGAAUAAAUUCUGGAGAUCUGUUGUAUAACACUGUGCCUAUAGUUAACAAUAAAGUAGUAUGCAUGU
RNAcentral lists this long non-coding RNA (550 nucleotides) under Marmota monax (woodchuck). Lineage: Eukaryota; Metazoa; Chordata; Mammalia; Rodentia; Sciuridae. The record is from RNAcentral.